This 1131-nucleotide long non-coding RNA is filed under the name Apteryx rowi (Okarito brown kiwi). Its description in RNAcentral is "lncRNA (ENSARWG00000000650.1)". The record is from RNAcentral. Lineage: Eukaryota; Metazoa; Chordata; Aves; Apterygiformes; Apterygidae.
UUAUAGCCCUCUUGUAAAGCAGAAGGAGCUUUGCUUGGGAAGAACACCYGAGUGAUGCAUUUUGGUUUUGAUCCGUUUGGUCCCUGUUGACCAAGCAUUGUCACAGUGAAAUGGGACAGUAUAAAUCAUGCAUGAGGCAAAGUUCAGGCCUCAUGUCUCCCGUUUAUGGCUGUCUCUCCUGCCUUGUGCCCCAGACUUGAGGACUUUUGUGACCUGAUCUCUGGGAACCAGGUACCUGCAGGUGACCUGGUGUUAAAUGCAAGCAGAAGCUGAGGUGCAUUUACAGGUCUGAUGCACCCACAGGGUUUCCAGUUAACUCUGAACACUGUCAUAAUGUGUGUAUCUCUCCCUGCAAGAGCCGGGCUGGAUGUAUCCUCAGCAGAGUCAUACCAGCUGUGCAUGCUGAGUGAGUGCUCUGCAACUGUAAAGAGAUCAUCAAGCAUCUCCUGUACCAUUUUUAGGAGAUGAUAACUCGGAUCCCUGUUCAAGUUCCUUUUUGACUGAUGAAAUAUGCAUGUCAGAGCAAAUUGCUGCAAUAAGAACACCUAUGUCCUACCCAGAAGGAAGAUGUGUUUUCCAGGGCACAUCCUAGUGUGGUGUAAACAACAUGGAAGAUACUGGUUACUAGCAUUUUCUUAUUGUGUUGCAUAUAUUUUUUUCUCUAUAAAAUAAAACAUGGAGAAUGAGCUAUGUUGCCACACAGUAUCAUGUGAAACAGGUGAUUGAAAGGAAAAUCCGUAUUUCUCAAAAUGUGAUUUUUUGAAGGUCUUCCCCCAGGUAUUGGGUGACCCAUUGGCUUACGGAUUCUGUGGUCCUGUGCAUCUCUCAUCCAUGCUGCCGUUCCCUGUAAGUAAGGGAAGAAGCUAUUGCCAGGUCAGACUGGAGCAUGAGAACAUCCUGCCCUUUGCUGUGUCCUCCUGUUGCAGCCCACAGGUUUUCCAGCCACUGGAGGCUUCCUGCCAGAGAUGAAGUUGGGUGUCCUCUUGGCUGUCAUAAGGUGAGCAGAGCCCUGUCUCAGUUUCUAAACUGUCUGCGAUCAAUCCAUGUCCUCUCCAGCAGUGUUGAACUUGCCAGUGGGCCUGAUGAUGCCUUUCCGUGACAUGUGAAACCUGGCUUUCUCUGUCCAAAGAG